GCGCUCCUCACUGUCUAGUUAUCAGUGUCUGAGAGGGCGCGCAAGAUGCUUCUUCCGCAUUUAACGCUUUUCUGGAGCAGAAAACAAGAGCUAUAACAGCUGUGUGGUGUUUGGUUGUUUUGGUGGAGACAGAGGCCAAAGAAACCACAGAGCAGUCUAAGUUGUAGUUCUUCUCUCCCUUAUAUAAAGUUCACAGAAACAGAAUAACGCCGGGACUUAAGCUCUGAAUGAAGUUACUCUGGCCUUGAUGGGACUCAGCGCUGGAAAACUGUGCUAUCCGGUGAGACUGGAGCCCUUGCACAGUGUUGGUAGAAAUGUGACUGGAUAAAGAAAACAUGGCAUUUACCCAAUGCAGUAUUAUUCAGCCUGCAGAAAAGAACAUUGUCAUUUGCAACAUGGAUGAUCCUGGAGGACAUGAAGCCAGGCACAGAAAAACAAAUGUCACAUGAUCUCGCUUAUAUAUGAAGUGAAAAAUAAAUCACAGAAACAGAGGCUGAAGUGGUGGAAAGAUUAAGAAUAUGUUGGUGGAAGGAGGGAAAAAUUUAAGAGAUAUAGUGUACAUCAUGGUUACUACAGUUAAGAAGCCAGGUGGGAUGGUGCACUCAACAAUU
Long non-coding RNA from Heterocephalus glaber (naked mole-rat), 611 nucleotides. RefSeq lists it as uncharacterized. NCBI's taxonomy places the organism in Eukaryota, Metazoa, Chordata, Mammalia, Rodentia, Bathyergidae. The record is from RefSeq and is a predicted model, not a curated record.